AGCGAACGCUGGCGGCAUGCUUAACACAUGCAAGUCGCACGGGCAGCAAUGUCAGUGGCGGACGGGUGAGUAACGCGUAGGAACGUGUCCUGAGGUGGGGGACAACCCCGGGAAACUGGGGCUAAUACCGCAUAUGGGCUGAGGCCCAAAGCCGAGAGGCGCCUUUGGAGCGGCCUGCGUCCGAUUAGGUAGUUGGUGGGGUAAAGGCCUACCAAGCCUGCGAUCGGUAGCUGGUCUGAGAGGACGACCAGCCACACUGGGACUGAGACACGGCACAGACUCCUACGGGAGGCAGCAGUGGGGAAUAUUGGACAAUGGGCGAAAGCCUGAUCCAGCAAUGCCGCGUGGGUGAAGAAGGUCUUCGGAUCGUAAAGCCCUUUCGACGGGGACGAUGAUGACGGUACCCGUAGAAGAAGCCCCGGCUAACUUCGUG
Molecule: ribosomal RNA, 433 nt
Filed under: uncultured bacterium
Lineage: Bacteria
Description: partial 16S ribosomal RNA
Rfam family: Bacterial small subunit ribosomal RNA
Source: RNAcentral